This 403-nucleotide ribosomal RNA is filed under the name uncultured bacterium. Its description in RNAcentral is "bacterial SSU rRNA". It matches the Rfam family "Bacterial small subunit ribosomal RNA", at positions 355 to 775 of the family's 1533-position model. The record is from RNAcentral.
UAGGGAAUAUUAGUAAUGGGCGCAAGCCUGAACUAGCAACACCGCGUGUGCGAAGAAGGCCUUCGGGUUGUAAAGCACUUUUCGGGAGGAUGAGGAAGGACGGUACUCUCGGAAUAAGUCUCGGCUAACUACGUGCCAGCAGCCGCGGUAAAACGUAGGAGGCGAACGUUAUCCGGAUUUACUGGGCGUAAAGCGCGUGUAGGUGGUUUGGUAAGUAGGGCGUGAAAGCUCCUGGCUCAACUGGGAGAGGUCGUUCUAAAUUGCCGAGCUAGAGGAUGGUAGAGGGAGGUGGAAUUCCGGGUGUAGCGGUGGAAUGCGCAGAUAUCCGGAGGAACACCAGUGGCGAAAGCGGCCUCCUGGACCACUCCUGACACUCAGACGCGAAAGCUAGGGUAGCAAACGG